UCGACGAGUCGACUGGAGUUGUGCCCUUGAGGCGUGGCUUCCGGAGCUAACGCGUUAAGUCGACCGCCUGGGGAGUACGGCCGCAAGGUUAAAACUCAAAUGAAUUGACGGGGGCCCGCACAAGCGGUGGAGCAUGUGGUUUAAUUCGAUGCAACGCGAAGAACCUUACCUGGUCUUGACAUCCACAGAACUUUCCAGAGAUGGAUUGGUGCCUUCGGGAACUGUGAGACAGGUGCUGCAUGGCUGUCGUCAGCUCGUGUUGUGAAAUGUUGGGUUAAGUCCCGCAACGAGCGCAACCCUUAUCCUUUGUUGCCAGCGGUCCGGCCGGGAACUCAAAGGAGACUGCCAGUGAUAAACUGGAGGAAGGUGGGGAUGACGUCAAGUCAUCAUGGCCCUUACGACCAGGGCUACACACGUGCUACAAUGGCGCAUACAAAGAGAAGCGACCUCGCGAGAGCAAGCGGACCUCAUAAAGUGCGUCGUAGUCCGGAUUGGAGUCUGCAACUCGACUCCAUGAAGUCGGAAUCGCUAGUAAUCGUGGAUCAGAAUGCCACGGUGAAUACGUUCCCGGGCCUUGUACACACCGCCCGUCACACCAUGGGAGUGGGUUGCAAAAGAAGUAGGUAGCUUAACCUUCGGGAGGGCGCUUACCACUUUGUGAUUCAUGACUGGGGUGAAUCUACAAAGGGGGGGGCAAAAAAAUACGGGGGCCCCGCGAUUCCU
Molecule: ribosomal RNA, 723 nt
Filed under: Helicobacter pylori
Lineage: Bacteria; Pseudomonadati; Campylobacterota; Epsilonproteobacteria; Campylobacterales; Helicobacteraceae
Description: bacterial SSU rRNA
Rfam family: Bacterial small subunit ribosomal RNA
Source: RNAcentral